CUUGAACGCUGGCGGCAGGCCUAACACAUGCAAGUCGCACGAGUGGCGGACGGGUGAGUAAUGUCUGGGAAACUGCCUGAUGGCGGGGGAUAACUACUGGAAACGGUAGCUAAUACCGCAUACCAUCGGAUGUGCCCAGAUGGGAUUGGCUGGUAGGUGGGGUAAAGUCUCACCUAGGCGACGAUCCCGAGCUGGUCUGAGAGGAUGACCAGCCACACUGGAACUGAGACACGGUCCCGACUCGUACGGGUGUCAGCAUUUGGGAAUAGUGCACAAUGGGCGCAAGCCGGACGCAGCCAUGCCGCGUGUAUGAAGAAGGCCUUCGGGUUGUAAAGUACUGUCAGCGGGGAGGCGUUACCCGCAGAAGAAGCACCGGCUAACUCCGUGCCAGCAGCCGCGGUAAUUC
Molecule: ribosomal RNA, 406 nt
Filed under: uncultured bacterium
Lineage: Bacteria
Description: partial 16S ribosomal RNA
Rfam family: Bacterial small subunit ribosomal RNA
Source: RNAcentral